UACAGAGGAGCCAAGCGUUGUCCGGAUUGACUGGGCGUAAAGCGCACGCAGGCGGGUGCGCGCGUGGGGGGGGAAAUCUGGCCGCUUAACGGCCAGGCGCCAUCCCAUACGGCGCGCCUGGAGGGCUGCAGAGGUCGAUGGAAUUGCCGGUGUAGUGGUGAAAUGCGUAGAGAUCGGCAGGAACACCCAGGGGGAAACCAGUCGACUGGGCAGCACCUGACGCUGAGGUGCGAGAGCGUGGGGAGCGAACCGG
RNAcentral lists this ribosomal RNA (253 nucleotides) under uncultured bacterium. RNAcentral describes it as "partial 16S ribosomal RNA". It matches the Rfam family "Bacterial small subunit ribosomal RNA", at positions 524 to 776 of the family's 1533-position model. The record is from RNAcentral.